GGCGCUAGUGUCUACUGACGGGCUGUUUACCUUAAAUCCAUCUUCAGGGCCAUGGGUGAAAACACUACCGCAAAAUUCAAAUACAGUGCAAGAGUGGAAUCAGUAGCUGAUGGUUCGAACAAGUUCACCUCACCGUGUGUUUGCGACAAUGAGUGAUUCAAUUGUUGUUUCACCAGUAGGAAGCAUAGAUGGUACAGACACUACAGAUCAUGCUUUCCUUGAUUAUCGUCCAUCGGCAAAACUGAUUACACAAGCAGCUAGGUGCAUGUCGGUGUCAGUUCUCAAUGACAAACGAUUGGAGCACUCUGAUGAAGAAGUUAUACAGUUGAGGAACAAAUUCCUGAUUCUUACUAAAAAUAGAGCAAUUUUUAAGCAGCUAGAACGAAAUCAAAAAUGGACACUUGCAAUCAUAUGUAUUGUCUACUUUGUUUGUUUCUGUACAAUUUCUAUGCUUUCUACGUUCUUUUAUGAGAUAGCCAUUUUGCAUAAUAUCUCAACCAGCACCUAUGGUCUUAUUUUCAGUAUUCAUCCUGCUGUGGUAUUUUGUACAUCUCCAAUUUUUGGUCAUAUUACACCAUCUAUAGGACCAAAAUUUAUGUUUACGACAGGUGUAUUCCUCUGUGGAAGCUGUAAUCUCUUAUUUGGAACCCUUGAACAUGUUCAGGAUGACACACAAUUUACAAUCCUGUGCUUUGUUGUAAGAGGAUUGGGAGCUGUUGGGGCUUCAGCUUUCUCUACAGCUGGGGCCACCUAUGUUGCAAAUUUAUUUCCAGAUAAAAUUAGUGUAAUUAUGGGAAUUUUGGAAACUUUCAUUGGCCUAGGGUUUUCCAUUGGGCCUCUACUGGGUGGAUCCUUAUUCACAUUGGGAGGAUUACAACUUCCUUUCUAUAUCAUGGGUUCAGUAAUGCUACUGAUCUUACCAUUCAGCAUUUUCUGUCUUCCCGAAACAAAUCACGUUUAUUCCAAAGGAAAUCUUGGAACUAAAGUCUUGGCCAUCAUAUUCAAAAUACCAGCUGUUUUCAUCAUUUGCGUAGUGGUGGCUGUAUCUUCAAGUGCCUGGAGUGUUUUAGAACCGACCUUGGUCAUUCACAUGGAACAGUUUAAAUUGGGCCCGAUGCAGCUGGGUCUUCUGUUCCUGAUUACUUCAGUCAGUUCUGCCAUUUCAAGUCCUUUUUGGGGCUGGUUAGUAAGCAAGUACAACCACGGAACUUUGAUGAUGAUUAUCGGGUUGUCUGUCACAGCAGUUGGCUUACUCCUACUUGGUCCUUCUCCAAUUUUACCACACAUGCCAAAUGUGUUAUGGCUCAACAUUGUAUCCCUUGUUCUGAUUGGAACAUUUGUGGCAUUGGCUUAUGUACCCACAUAUCAAGCUUUACUUGAACACGCAGUGCAAGUAGGUUGUGAAACGGAAAUGAGUACAUACAGCAUCAUUGCCGGUCUGUGGGCGUCAAUGUACUCAUUAGGGGAGGUUUUAGGCCCAUGUAUUGGCAGUAUUCUAGUCGAUGUGUAUAGCUUUCCUCUGGCGAUAACAGCUAUCGGAUUACUGAAUUUUGCAGUCGCUCUCAUAUUGCUGUUUUACGUGGCAUUUUCCGCCUCUCGUACGAAAAAUAAUCCUCCUCUUUCCAAGUCACCACUUUUGAUAUCGGAAGACGAUGCAUCCAGCAAUUCCAACAUAACGCAAGUUGGAAAGACCGCUUCAAUUACGAUUGGUAUCAAUGGCGAACGUGAACGACUUAUUCAAGACGCAGAGUCGACUCAAGCAUACGGAACAACUUGCUAAUAUUUUUCAGAUAAUUUCGUGUUACAGUUUAGACUCAUUUUGCCUUAAUAUGCUAACGACAAAAUUUAUGAGAGCCAAAUAAUGUUCAAUAAGUCUGUAAAAAUGUUAAAUGGAUGUUAAAUUUCUGGUCCGAAUUUCUACUGAAGAUAGUUUUAAUCUUUGUCAGCCUUAGGUAUAUUUUUGUGUAUGGUGUAUGUCAAUUGUGCAUUUGUUAACUCCUCGCCUUCUUGCUGGAUAACAUGUAGUCGAUUAAAAAGCAUAUAAUUGUGUUUCUUUAAUUUUUUUAUCAAGGACACAUCGAGGAACACCCGCAAUCUGUUGGUUUAGAAGAAUUAGAAAUUUAAAAGAAGAAAUCGUUGGUGGUUAAGCAUACAAAGCAGGAAAGAGUAUUCUGCCUUGUCCAUUUGAUCGGGUUUUAAUUCCGCCGUAUAGUUUUCAUAAUCCUUUCACAAUUUGGCACGUGUUUCUAUAACACUUAUUUAGCUCAGAAUGCAAAGGGUGCAAUAUCCUACGCUGUAAAAUACUGAAUUUAAAAUUUUAUUCUUUAAAAUUGCUAAACGUAUUCAUGCCCACAAAAUUCUUAACUUAUUUGCUGCUGUCCGUUUUCAGAAUCAAGUUUUACUACGCUGCCUCAAUAUAAAAACUAGUUGACGAUGAACACGCAAGUUUUUCCAGCAAAAAAAAACUUCUCCUUUACUAUUUCAAUCUUUUUUAGAUGCUAGAACGUGCGUGAAACUUUCACUUCACUCCAAAAUAUCCGAAACAAAAAAUAGCCUCGGCACUGUACUCAAAGACCUUCCCCCCUCAGGGUUUGACUCUAUAGCACCAUUCCUUAGUAUAUAUAAGACGGCAAAGUCCUUGAUCAUCGCAGUCGCUACUCACAAGCUUUGGACACCGGCAGGCUGGCCCACACAAUCUCUGGACUAUAUAUUCAGAUCCUCACAAUUCCCGCGCUGUUGGUGAUUCUGAAAUGAAUCGGUGACUGGCGACUGCACUACGUUUUUAUUAAUUACAGUACUGCAGUCGCCAGUCACUGAAUCCUGUUUAUGACAUUCAGCUUCUUCACUUAAUUAUACCUCCUAAUUUUUUUGUUGUCUACCGAAAUAAAAGUAAAAGGACAAUAAACGAGAGAUGUAAAAUGC
Molecule: unclassified non-coding RNA, 2922 nt
Filed under: Daphnia pulex (common water flea)
Lineage: Eukaryota; Metazoa; Arthropoda; Branchiopoda; Diplostraca; Daphniidae
Description: mFS-type transporter SLC18B1-like, transcript variant X1
Source: RNAcentral